GACGAACGCUGGCGGCGUGCCUAAUACAUGCAAGUAGAACGCUGAAGGAGGAGCUUGCUUCUCCGGAUGAGUUGCGAACGGGUGAGUAACGCGUAGGUAACCUGCCUGGUAGCGGGGGAUAACUAUUGGAAACGAUAGCUAAUACCGCAUAACAGUAGAUGUUGCAUGACAUUUGCUUAAAAGGUGCAAUUGCAUCACUACCAGAUGGACCUGCGUUGUAUUAGCUAGUUGGUGAGGUAACGGCUCACCAAGGCGACGAUACAUAGCCGACCUGAGAGGGUGAUCGGCCACACUGGGACUGAGACACGGCCCAGACGCCUACGGGAGGCAGCAGUAGGGAAUCUUCGGCAAUGGACGGAAGUCUGACCGAGCAACGCCGCGUGAGUGAAGAAGGUUUUCGGAUCGUAAAGCUCUGUUGUAAGAGAAGAACGAGUGUGAGAGUGGAAAGUUCACACUGUGACGGUAUCUUACCAGAAAGGGACGGCUAACUACGUG
This 495-nucleotide ribosomal RNA is filed under the name uncultured bacterium. RNAcentral describes it as "partial 16S ribosomal RNA". It matches the Rfam family "Bacterial small subunit ribosomal RNA", at positions 28 to 507 of the family's 1533-position model. The record is from RNAcentral.